GCCAGUGUGGUGCAGUGGUUUGAGGGUUGGACUACAACUCUGGAGAGCAGGGUUCAGUUCCCUGCUUGGCA
Molecule: non-coding RNA, 71 nt
Organism: Phrynosoma platyrhinos (Desert horned lizard)
Lineage: Eukaryota; Metazoa; Chordata; Lepidosauria; Squamata; Phrynosomatidae
Source: the annotation of a GenBank genome assembly